CCUACGGGCGGCAGCAGUGAGGAAUAUUGGUCAAUGGACGAGAGUCUGAACCAGCCAAGUAGCGUGAAGGAUGACUUCCCUAUGGGUUGUACACUUCUUUUAUAUGGGAGUAAAACAGGGUAUGCAUACCCUCUUGUAUGUACCAUAUGAAUAAGGAUCGGCUAACUCCGUGCCAGCAGCCGCGGUAAUACGGAGGAUCCGAGCGUUAUCCGGAUUUAUUGGGUUUAAAGGGAGCGUAGGUGGAUUGUUAAGUCAGUUGUGAAAGUUUGCGGCUCAACCGUGAAAUUGCAGUUGAAACUGGCAGUCUUGAGUACAGUAGAGGUGGGCGGAAUUCGUGGUGUAGCGGUGAAAUGCUUAGAUAUCACGAAGAACUCCGAUUGCGAAGGCAGCUCACUGGACUGCAACUGACACUGAUGCUCGAAAGUGUGGGUAGCAAACAGGAUUAGAUACCCCUGUAGUC
Molecule: ribosomal RNA, 460 nt
Filed under: uncultured bacterium
Lineage: Bacteria
Description: partial 16S ribosomal RNA
Rfam family: Bacterial small subunit ribosomal RNA
Source: RNAcentral